CCUACGGGGGGCAGCAGUGGGGAAUAUUGCACAAUGGGCGAAACCCUGAUGCAGCGACGCCGCGUGAGUGAAGAAGUAAUUCGUUAUGUAAAGCCCUAUCAGCAGGGAAGAAAAUGACGGUACCUGAGUAAGAAGCCCCGGCUAACUACGUGCCAGCAGCCGUGGGAAUACGUAGGGGGCAAGCGUUAUCCGGAUUUACUGGGCGUAAAGGGAGCGUAGACGGCAGUGCAAGUCUGGAGUGAAAGGCGGGGGCUCAACCCCCGGACUGCUCUGGAAACUGGACGGCUGGAGUGCAGGAGAGGUAAGUGGAAUGCCUGGUGUAGCGGUGAAAUGCAUAGAUAUUAGGAAGAACACCAGUGGCGAAGGCGGCUUACUGGACUGUAACUGACGUUGAGGCUCGAAAGCGUGGGGAGCGAACAGGAUUAGAUACCCUUGUAGUC
This 440-nucleotide ribosomal RNA is filed under the name uncultured bacterium. Its description in RNAcentral is "partial 16S ribosomal RNA". It matches the Rfam family "Bacterial small subunit ribosomal RNA", at positions 338 to 795 of the family's 1533-position model. The record is from RNAcentral.